CGCGGCCAGAUCCCUGCUGUACCCGGAAUAACAAGGAUGGGUUCCCGUUGUGCCCUCCUAAGUCCUCGUUAAAGGGCCUGUCACCCCGCGAGCCGCGUUCGGUACCCACACGAAUGUUACACGUUCCUGGGGAGGAACGAAGCCUCUGUGCGCUUGCUCAGGCAGGCGACUCUUGCUGGCUGUUUCGGAUAACUAUAUUUGAACGAAAAUUUAGAUGUGUGCAGUGCCCCUUUGGAGUUGGUAGUGCUGCAGAUUUCUUGAACCUGCUGUGGUACGGCGAUUCAGCGCGGACAUAGCAAGAAUCUCAACAUGUUUAAGAAGCUUCCUAUAUUUGUGAGAAUGUAGUGAAUGGAUCUGACUGGACU
This is a long non-coding RNA of Meriones unguiculatus (Mongolian gerbil), 365 nucleotides long. Lineage: Eukaryota; Metazoa; Chordata; Mammalia; Rodentia; Muridae. The record is from Ensembl.